Molecule: transfer RNA, 74 nt
Filed under: Acidaminococcus sp. CAG:917
Lineage: Bacteria; Bacillati; Bacillota; Negativicutes; Acidaminococcales; Acidaminococcaceae
Rfam family: tRNA
About the family: Transfer RNA (tRNA) molecules are approximately 80 nucleotides in length. Their secondary structure includes four short double-helical elements and three loops (D, anti-codon, and T loops).
Source: Rfam by way of RNAcentral
GCGCCAUUAGCUCAGCUGGAUAGAGCGUUGCGCUACGGACGCAAAGGUCAGGGGUUCGAAUCCCUUAUGACGCA